RNAcentral lists this ribosomal RNA (427 nucleotides) under uncultured bacterium. RNAcentral describes it as "partial 16S ribosomal RNA". It matches the Rfam family "Bacterial small subunit ribosomal RNA", at positions 355 to 774 of the family's 1533-position model. The record is from RNAcentral.
UGGGGAAUAUUGGACAAUGGGCGAAAGCCUGAUCCAGCCAUGCCGCGUGUGUGAAGAAGGUCUUCGGAUUGUAAAGCACUUUAAGUUGGGAGGAAGGGCAUUAACCUAAUACGUUAGUGUUUUGACGUUACCGACAGAAUAAGCACCGGCUAACUCUGUGCCAGCAGCCGCGGUAAUACAGAGGGUGCAAGCGUUAAUCGGAAUUACUGGGCGUAAAGCGCGCGUAGGUGGUUUGUUAAGUUGGAUGUGAAAUCCCCGGGCUCAACCUGGGAACUGCAUUCAAAACUGACUGACUAGAGUAUAGUAGAGGGUGGUGGAAUUUCCUGUGUAGCGGUGAAAUGCGUAGAUAUAGGAAGGAACACCAGUGGCGAAGGCGACCACCUGGACUAAUACUGACACUGAGGUGCGAAAGCGUGGGGAGCAAACA